CUGUGGAUGAGCAUGCGGUUGAUUAGCUAGUUGGCGGGGUAAAGGCCCACCAAGGCGAUGAUCAAUAGGGGACCUGAGAGGGUGAUCCCCCCACACUGGCACUGAGAUACGGGCCAGACUCCUACGGGAGGCAGCAGGUAGGGAAUAUUGGACAAUGGGUGUAAGCCUGAUCCAGCCAUGCCGCGUGCAGGAAGAAGGCCUUCUGGGUUGUAAACUGCUUUUGCCGGGGGAUAAAAGAUCCAUGCGUGGAGAAUUGAAGGUACCCGGUGAAUAAGCCACGGCUAACUACGUG
This 292-nucleotide ribosomal RNA is filed under the name uncultured bacterium. RNAcentral describes it as "partial 16S ribosomal RNA". It matches the Rfam family "Bacterial small subunit ribosomal RNA", at positions 219 to 507 of the family's 1533-position model. The record is from RNAcentral.